GAGGCGAUUGCAGCCAGACACAUGGGCAAAGGAGCUUUCCGUAGCGGCUUCUUUCGACCUGUUGGGGACCCUCCGCUUCCCCGCGGCAGACGGGACCUUCCGUAUGAACGUUUCAUCCCUUCAGCGGCAGCUUCCAUGACUUCCGGCCCCCCGAUUCUACCCCCAGUCGUAAACGUGGCAAAGCUGCUCUGAGUUGAUAGAUCCGCCAACUGUUCCUGGACUCCCCUGCUCCACAGCCAGCCAGUGUCACUUAGACGUCGAAGUCUUCCUGCUGCGUCUGUAUUCAGGGCCACCAGUUCUUUGAGACCCUUAUCCAGCACUGACAACCUCUGAAAGUGGUAUAAUUAUCCAGGAGGCACUGCUUCAGCUCUAAAACAGUGAAUGAAACAUCAGAGAAUUAAAAUUCCCUACCCCUGAAGCUAAUUGUCUAGUUGGGCAAUGUCUUAUUUCUUCUAGGAAGCA
This is a long non-coding RNA of Galeopterus variegatus (Sunda flying lemur), 462 nucleotides long. RefSeq lists it as uncharacterized. The record is from RefSeq and is a predicted model, not a curated record. The transcript has 3 exons. NCBI's taxonomy places the organism in Eukaryota, Metazoa, Chordata, Mammalia, Dermoptera, Cynocephalidae.